Molecule: ribosomal RNA, 253 nt
Filed under: uncultured bacterium
Lineage: Bacteria
Description: partial 16S ribosomal RNA
Rfam family: Bacterial small subunit ribosomal RNA
Source: RNAcentral
UACGUAGGGUGCAAGCGUUGUCCGGAAUUAUUGGGCGUAAAGAGCUCGUAGGCGGUUUGUCGCGUCAGCUGUGAAAACUCGAGGCUCAACCUCGAGACGUCGGUUGAAACCGUACGGCUAGAGUCCGGAAGAGGAGAGUGGAAUUCCCGGUGUAGCGGUGAAAUGCGCAGAUAUCGGGAAGAACACCCGUGGCGAAGGCGGCUCUCUGGGCAUGUCCUGACGCUGAGGAGCGAAAGUGUGGGGAGCGAACAGG